This 468-nucleotide ribosomal RNA is filed under the name uncultured bacterium. RNAcentral's name for it is "partial 16S ribosomal RNA". It matches the Rfam family "Bacterial small subunit ribosomal RNA", at positions 28 to 507 of the family's 1533-position model. The record is from RNAcentral.
GACGAACGCUGGCGGCGGGCUUAACACAUGCAAGUCGAACGGAAAGGCCCUGCUUUUGUGGGGUGCUCGAGUGGCGAACGGGUGAGUAACACGUGUGUAACCUGCCCUCGACUUUGGGAUAACUUCAGGACACUGGGGCUAAUACCGGAUAGGAGCUCCCGCUGCAUGGUGGGGGUUGGAAAGUUUCGGCGGUUGGGGAUGGACUCGCGGCUUAUCAGCUUGUUGGUUGGGUAGUGGCUUACCAAGGCUUUGACGGGUAGCCGGCCUGAGAGGGGGACCGGCCAAGUUGGGACUGAGAUACGGCACAGACUACUACGGGAGGCGGCGGUGGGGAAUAUUGCACAAGGGGCGGAAGCCUGCUGCAGCAACGCCGCGUGCGGGAUGACGGCCUUCGGGUUGUAAACCGCUUUCGCCUGUGACGAAGCGUGAGUGACGGUAAUGGGUAAAGAAGCACCGGCUAACUACGUG